GAUGAACGCUAGCUACAGGCUUAACACAUGCAAGUCGAGGGGCAGCAUUAUCUUAGCUUGCUAAGAUAGAUGGCGACCGGCGCACGGGUGAGUAACACGUAUCCAACCUUCCGGUUACUCGGGGAUAGGCUUUCGAAAGAAAGAUUAAUACCCGAUGUUGCGUAUCUUUCUCCUGAAAGAUACGCCAAAGGAUUCCGGUAACCGAUGGGGAUGCGUUCCAUUAGGCAGUUGGCGGGGUAACGGCCCACCAAACCUUCGAUGGAUAGGGGUUCUGAGAGGAAGGUCCCCCACAUUGGAACUGAGACACGGUCCAAACUCCUACGGGAGGCAGCAGUGAGGAAUAUUGGUCAAUGGACGGAAGUCUGAACCAGCCAAGUAGCGUGAAGGAUGACUGCCCUCUGGGUUGUAAACUUCUUUUAUACGGGAAUAACAUGAGGUACGCGUACCUUAUUGCAUGUACCGUUAUGAAUAAGCAUCGGCUAACUCCGUGCCAGCAGCCGCGGUAAUACGGAGGAUGCGAGCGUUAUCCGGAUUUAUUGGGUUUAAAGGGAGCGUAGGUGGGAUAUUAAGUCAGCUGUGAAAGUUUGGGGCUCAACCUUAAAAUUGCAGUUGAUACUGGUUUCCUUGAGUACGGUACAGGUGGGCGGAAUUCGUGGUGUAGCGGUGAAAUGCUUAGAUAUCGGGAGGAACACCAGUGGCGAAGGCGGCCUACUGGGCACCAACUGACGCUGAGGCUCGAAAGUGUGGGUAGCAAACAGG
RNAcentral lists this ribosomal RNA (759 nucleotides) under uncultured bacterium. Its description in RNAcentral is "bacterial SSU rRNA". It matches the Rfam family "Bacterial small subunit ribosomal RNA", at positions 28 to 776 of the family's 1533-position model. The record is from RNAcentral.